Molecule: ribosomal RNA, 529 nt
Filed under: uncultured bacterium
Lineage: Bacteria
Description: bacterial SSU rRNA
Rfam family: Bacterial small subunit ribosomal RNA
Source: RNAcentral
AAUAGAUACCCAGGUAGUCCACGCCGUAAACGAUGAGUGCUAAGUGUUAGAGGGUUUCCGCCCCUUAGUGCUGCAGCUAACGCAUUAAGCACUCCGCCUGGGGAGUACGGUCGCAAGACUGAAACUCAAAGGAAUUGACGGGGGCCCGCACAAGCGGUGGAGCAUGUGGUUUAAUUCGAAGCAACGCGAAGAACCUUACCAGGUCUUGACAUCCCACUGACCGGUAUAGAGAUAUACCUUUCCCUUCGGGGACAGUGGUGACAGGUGGUGCAUGGUUGUCGUCAGCUCGUGUCGUGAGAUGUUGGGUUAAGUCCCGCAACGAGCGCAACCCUUGAUCUUAGUUGCCAGCAUUUAGUUGGGCACUCUAAGGUGACUGCCGGUGACAAACCGGAGGAAGGUGGGGAUGACGUCAAAUCAUCAUGCCCCUUAUGACCUGGGCUACACACGUGCUACAAUGGAUGGUACAAAGGGCUGCAAGACUGCGAAGUCAAGCCAAUCCCAUAAAACCAUUCUCAGUUCGGAUUGCAGG